RNAcentral lists this ribosomal RNA (426 nucleotides) under uncultured bacterium. Its description in RNAcentral is "bacterial SSU rRNA". It matches the Rfam family "Bacterial small subunit ribosomal RNA", at positions 356 to 773 of the family's 1533-position model. The record is from RNAcentral.
GGGGAAUAUUGCGCAAUGGGGGAAACCCUGACGCAGCGACGCCGCGUGAGCGAAGAAGGCCUUAGGGUCGUAAAGCUCUGUUUUAAGGGACGAAUGUCGCGGACAGUAAUAUGGUCUGCGAAUGACGGUACCUUAAGAGGAAGCCCCGGCUAACUACGUGCCAGCAGCCGCGGUAAGACGUAGGGGGCGAGCGUUGUCCGGAAUUACUGGGCGUAAAGAGCACGUAGGCGGGACUUUAAGUCAGGUGUGAAAGACCGAGGCUCAACUUCGGGGUUGCACUUGAAACUGGAGUUCUUGAGGGCAGGAGAGGAAAGUGGAAUUCCUGGUGUAGCGGUGAAAUGCGUAGAAAUCAGGAGGAACACCGGUGGCGAAGGCGACUUUCUGGACUGACCCUGACGCUGAGGUGCGAAAGCGUGGGUAGCAAAC